CACGCCGUAAACGAUGAGUACUAAGUGUCGGACGAAUCCGGUGCUGCAGUUAACGCAUUAAGUACUCCGCCUGAGUAGUACGUGCGCAAGCAUAAAACUCAAAGGAAUUGGCGGGACCUCGCACAAGCGGUGGAUCAUGUUGUUUAAUUCGACGAUACGCGAAGAACCUUACCAGGCCUUGACAUACCGAGCAAAGCUAUGGAAACAUAGUGGAGGGUAACUGGGAUACAGGUGG
Molecule: ribosomal RNA, 235 nt
Filed under: uncultured Acholeplasma sp.
Lineage: Bacteria; Bacillati; Mycoplasmatota; Mollicutes; Acholeplasmatales; Acholeplasmataceae
Description: partial 16S ribosomal RNA
Rfam family: Bacterial small subunit ribosomal RNA
Source: RNAcentral